GGGCGUUUGGCGCAGCUGGUAGCGCAUCUGAUCGACAUUCAGAAGGUCACUGGUUCGAACCCAGUAACGCCCACCA
This 76-nucleotide transfer RNA is filed under the name Vampirovibrionales bacterium. RNAcentral's name for it is "tRNA-Val". It matches the Rfam family "tRNA". Rfam says of the family: Transfer RNA (tRNA) molecules are approximately 80 nucleotides in length. Their secondary structure includes four short double-helical elements and three loops (D, anti-codon, and T loops). Further hydrogen bonds mediate the characteristic L-shaped molecular structure. tRNAs have two regions of fundamental functional importance: the anti-codon, which is responsible for specific mRNA codon recognition, and the 3' end, to which the tRNAs corresponding amino acid is attached (by aminoacyl-tRNA synthetases). tRNAs cope with the degeneracy of the genetic code in two manners: having more than one tRNA (with a specific anti-codon) for a particular amino acid; and 'wobble' base-pairing, i.e. permitting non-standard base-pairing at the 3rd anti-codon position. Lineage: Bacteria; Bacillati; Candidatus Melainabacteria; Vampirovibriophyceae; Vampirovibrionales. The record is from RNAcentral. RNAcentral also lists the same sequence under 2 other names.